CCGCGGCUGUGUGAUGUAUAUGACAAGAGUCACCAGAGACACUUUAUAAGACCCUCUUAUGCUAGUUUUUAACAUUGCAAAAUAGCAAAACUAAAUGCUGGUAAUACAAGAUAAACUAAUAUAGGUGAAUGGUAUGACCUUCUAUGAAUGGGAUUUCCAGAUCAGGUGCUAUGUGAACAGAAAGAGAAGGAAAAGCUGAGUACAGCAAAGAGGAGGUUACACUACGCACCGAACUUCUGCUAAAGACAAGGCUGUAUACUGAAUGGAGGAGGGAUUAGCAUCAGAUCGCGUGCUCAGUAUAUCACAGUGAACGUUUAAGCCGGACAUCUCCUACACGUCUAGUUGGGAUUUCUCCUGCAACCUGCACGGAGGCGGCUGACUCAGAGGUGGCCUGCAAUGCCUAAUCCUCACCGUGACCCAG
Long non-coding RNA from Hyla sarda, 421 nucleotides. RefSeq lists it as uncharacterized. NCBI's taxonomy places the organism in Eukaryota, Metazoa, Chordata, Amphibia, Anura, Hylidae. The record is from RefSeq and is a predicted model, not a curated record. The transcript is spliced from 3 exons.